GCGGGAGACAAGCCCUAUCAGCACAUCCCAGAAAAUGGGAAACCGAAUCACCCAGGGGAUGGCAAGGAAUGACCAGAGGGAAAGUUCCAGUUCUGUCCACCAUGCACUACCAGCCCCAUUUUGGAAAAGAACAGAUUUAAUAGACCUCACCAAGACAAGAAUUGUUUUUCGUCAAAGGAAAUCAAAGAAACAAACAAGAGGCAGUGACCACCAGAGACUUCACCUUUUGGUGUAGGAAAACCCAAGCAGACAGUGUCUACAGCCAUCAAAGCCCAAAGUAUUAAAUAUUUAUUGAAUAAGAACCCACGGACUCUUCCUAACCAGAGCCUUAGAUUGCCAUGUGCGUCUGAUUGCUCCAAAGACAGACUAUUGUGAUUUUGGCCCCAUAUGCAUUUUAGAGUAACAAGUCUUACCAGAAAAAUAAUAGCCAGCCCCAGCUUAAUUCCUAGAGAAACUCAAACCACCUUGUUAAGAACAAUCCCAGAGGAGAGUUUAUACUAAGGAGCACUACACAAUGCUGUUUGCCAUCUCUGGGCCCUCUAAAAGCAAGCCCAACCUUGGAAAAGGAAUGUCUGCCACCAGGGAAACGUGGCUGCACUGCUCGAGGAAGAACUUGAUCAUGACGGGCAAUGCUUGGAAGUAAAGAAGCAUCUGCUGCCUUGGAAAGAGAGCAAGAGGCGGUGUCUUCCAGAAGUCGGUGUGGGCAGCACCAAACCAUCCACCAUGUAUCAGAGAAAAGCCAGAGAGCUGGAAGGCUCUAUUCCCAGGCCACUCUCCAGUCCUCAAACAUGUCACCAUCUCUCAUGCCUCCUUACUGGGCCCAUGCUGUCCCCUUGACCAGGAAUGUCCUCCACCCCCAUCCCAUCCCCAUAGCCCCCUUCACUGUAAGAUCUGGGCCCAGCAAAUUGCCCAGCUCCUCUUCUCUGAAUGCUUCUUUAAUGUCUCUGAGAAGGAGUUCCUUCCUCCUUUACUGUCCAUCUCUUCCACCACAUGAGGGGUUUGGGGGAGCUCUUUGAAGACAAGGGACCCUUCCUCAUUCAUAUUUGAAUACUGGGCCCAAGCACGCGCCCCUAGCAUCUGCAAUACACACAUGUCAAGGUGAAUGGGGAGAUAGAUGCCAAGAUCCUUGAGCGCUGCAAAUCUUCACUGCCAACUUCAACUACUCCAA
This 1168-nucleotide long non-coding RNA is filed under the name Pan troglodytes (chimpanzee). Its description in RNAcentral is "long non-coding RNA NONPTRT002340". Lineage: Eukaryota; Metazoa; Chordata; Mammalia; Primates; Hominidae. The record is from RNAcentral.